This is a small nucleolar RNA of 104 nucleotides. It matches the Rfam family "Small nucleolar RNA snR66". Rfam says of the family: snR66 is a member of the C/D class of snoRNA which contain the C (UGAUGA) and D (CUGA) box motifs. Most of the members of the box C/D family function in directing site-specific 2'-O-methylation of substrate RNAs.
UCGAGGUUUUAAGUGAUGAGAUACCAAAUGCAACAUAGAGUCAAGCUCAGAGUUUCAAAAGAAAACAGAGACGAGAAUUGCUAAUAGUUUCUGAUUGAUCUUGA